UGUCACACGACUCUCGGCAACGGAUAUCUAGGCUCUCGCAUCGAUGAAGAACGUAGCAAACUGCGAUACUUGGUGUGAAUUGCAGAAUCCCGUGAACCAUCGAGUCUUUGAACGCAAGUUGCGCCCGAAGCCGUUAGGCCGAGGGCACGUC
RNAcentral lists this ribosomal RNA (151 nucleotides) under Gymnema sylvestre. RNAcentral's name for it is "partial 5.8S ribosomal RNA". It matches the Rfam family "5.8S ribosomal RNA". Rfam says of the family: 5.8S ribosomal RNA (5.8S rRNA) is a component of the large subunit of the eukaryotic ribosome. It is transcribed by RNA polymerase I as part of the 45S precursor that also contains 18S and 28S rRNA. Functionally, it is thought that 5.8S rRNA may be involved in ribosome translocation. The record is from RNAcentral. Lineage: Eukaryota; Viridiplantae; Streptophyta; Magnoliopsida; Gentianales; Apocynaceae.